AGCUUUGCACAGUGGCAGUAUCGCAGCCAUUGAGGUUUAUUUGAGGCACUGUUAUUGUUAAUUUUAAAAAAAGAACCAUGGCUGGAGAGAUGGCUUAACAGUUAUAGCACUUUCCUGUGAGGCCUAAGGACU
This 132-nucleotide small nuclear RNA is filed under the name Jaculus jaculus (lesser Egyptian jerboa). RNAcentral describes it as "U4 spliceosomal RNA (ENSJJAG00000009370.1)". The record is from RNAcentral. Lineage: Eukaryota; Metazoa; Chordata; Mammalia; Rodentia; Dipodidae.